AAACAAGUAAGCUAAGUAAAGCUACUGGGUUCAUACCUCAGUUAUAAAGUAAUCCUCCUUUCUUGUUUA
RNAcentral lists this transfer RNA (69 nucleotides) under Cyclommatus strigiceps vitalisi. Its description in RNAcentral is "tRNA-Met". Lineage: Eukaryota; Metazoa; Arthropoda; Insecta; Coleoptera; Lucanidae. The record is from RNAcentral.